This 492-nucleotide ribosomal RNA is filed under the name uncultured bacterium. Its description in RNAcentral is "partial 16S ribosomal RNA". It matches the Rfam family "Bacterial small subunit ribosomal RNA", at positions 29 to 507 of the family's 1533-position model. The record is from RNAcentral.
AGUGAACGCUGGCGGUAGGCCUAACACAUGCAAGUCGAACGGCAGCACAGUAAGAGCUUGCUCUUACGGGUGGCGAGUGGCGGACGGGUGAGGAAUACAUCGGAAUCUACUUUUUCGUGGGGGAUAACGUAGGGAAACUUACGCUAAUACCGCAUACGACCUACGGGUGAAAGCAGGGGAUCUUCGGACCUUGCGCGAUUGAAUGAGCCGAUGUCGGAUUAGCUAGUUGGCGGGGUAAAGGCCCACCACGGCGACGAUCCGUAGCUGGUCUGAGAGGAUGAUCCGCCACACUGGAACUGAGACACGGCCCAGACUCCUACGGGAGGCAGCAGCGGGGAAUAUUGGACGAUGGGCGCAAGCCUGAUCCAGCCAUACCGCGUGGGUGAAGAAGGCCUUCGGGUUGUAAAGCCCUUUUGUUGGGAAAGAAAAGCAGCAGGUUAAUACCCCGCUGUUCUGACGGUACCCAAAGAAUAAGCACCGGCUAACUUCGUG